CCUACGGGGGGCAGCAGUGAGGAAUAUUGGUCAAUGGACGAGAGUCUGAACCAGCCAAGUAGCGUGAAGGAUGACUGCCCUAUGGGUUGUAAACUUCUUUUAUAAAGGAAUAAAACGAGGCACGUGUGCCUUUUUGCAUGUACUUUAUGAAUAAGGAUCGGCUAACUCCGUGCCAGCAGCCGCGGUAAUACGGAGGAUCCGAGCGUUAUCCGGAUUUAUUGGGUUUAAAGGGAGCGUAGAUGGGUUGUUAAGUCAGUUGUGAAAGUUUGCGGGUCAACCGUAAAAUUGAAAUUGAUACUGGCAGUCGUGAGUACAGUUGAGGUAGGAGGAAGUCGUGGUGUAGCGGUGAAAUGCUUAGAUAUCACGAAGAACCCCGAUGGCGAAGGCAGCUUACUAAACUGUGACUGACAUUGAUGCUCGAAAGUGUGGGUAUCAAACAGGAUUAGAUACCCCGGUAGUC
Molecule: ribosomal RNA, 460 nt
Filed under: uncultured bacterium
Lineage: Bacteria
Description: partial 16S ribosomal RNA
Rfam family: Bacterial small subunit ribosomal RNA
Source: RNAcentral